RNAcentral lists this ribosomal RNA (429 nucleotides) under Pseudomonadota bacterium. Its description in RNAcentral is "Proteobacteria bacterium partial 16S ribosomal RNA". It matches the Rfam family "Bacterial small subunit ribosomal RNA", at positions 355 to 776 of the family's 1533-position model. Lineage: Bacteria; Pseudomonadati; Pseudomonadota. The record is from RNAcentral.
UGGGGAAUAUUGGACAAUGGGCGAAAGCCUGAUCCAGCCAUGCCGCGUGUGUGAAGAAGGUCUUCGGAUUGUAAAGCACUUUAAGUUGGGAGGAAGGGCAGUAAGCGAAUACCUUGCUGUUUUGACGUUACCGACAGAAUAAGCACCGGCUAACUCUGUGCCAGCAGCCGCGGUAAUACAGAGGGUGCAAGCGUUAAUCGGAAUUACUGGGCGUAAAGCGCGCGUAGGUGGUUCGUUAAGUUGAAUGUGAAAGCCCCGGGCUCAACCUGGGAACUGCUUCCAAAACUGGCGAGCUAGAGUAGGGCAGAGGGUGGUGGAAUUUCCUGUGUAGCGGUGAAAUGCGUAGAUAUAGGAAGUAACACCAGUGGCGAAGGCGACCACCUGGUCUCAUACUGACACUAAGAUGCGAAAGCGUGGGGAGCAAACUGG